This 1486-nucleotide ribosomal RNA is filed under the name metagenome. RNAcentral describes it as "bacterial SSU rRNA". It matches the Rfam family "Bacterial small subunit ribosomal RNA". The record is from RNAcentral.
AGAGUUUGAUCCUGGCCCAGGAUGAACGCUGGCGGCGUGCUUAACGCAUGCAAGUCGAACGAGAAUUUAAUAUUUGAUUUCUUCGGAAUGAAGAUAUUGAAGGAAAGUGGCGGACGGGCGAGUAACGCGUGAGUAACCUACCCUAUGCAGGGGGACAACAUCGGGAAACCGGUGCUAAUACCGCAUAAGACCACAAUAUCGCAUGGUAAAGUGGUCAAAACUCUGGUGGCAUGGGAUGGACUCGCGUCCAAUUAGCUAGUUGGUGAGGUAACGGCUCACAAAGGCGACGAUUGGUAGCCGAACUGAGAGGUUGAUCGGCCGCAUUGGGACUGAGACACGGCCCAGACUCCUACGGGAGGCAGCAGUGGGGAAUAUUGCGCAAUGGGGGAAACCCUGACGCAGCAACGCCGCGUGAAGGAAGAAGGCUUUCGGGUUGUAAACUUCUUUGAUUAGGGAAGAAAAUGACGGUACCUAAAAAACAAGCCACGGCUAACUACGUGCCAGCAGCCGCGGUAAUACGUAGGUGGCAAGCGUUAUCCGGAAUUACUGGGUGUAAAGGGCGUGUAGGCGGGUAAAUAAGUCAGAUGUGAAAUUCCGAGGCUCAACCUCGGCGCUGCAUCUGAAACUGUUUAUCUUGAGUAUCGGAGAGGAAAGUGGAAUUCCUAGUGUAGCGGUGAAAUGCGUAGAGAUUAGGAGGAACACCAGUGGCGAAGGCGGCUUUCUGGACGAUUACUGACGCUGAGGCGCGAAAGCGUGGGGAGCGAACAGGAUUAGAUACCCUGGUAGUCCACGCUGUAAACGAUGGAUACUAGGUGUAAGGGGUAUCGACCCCCCUUGUGCCGGAGUUAACACAAUAAGUAUCCCACCUGGGAAGUACGACCGCAAGGUUGAAACUCAAAGGAAUUGACGGGGGCCCGCACAAGCAGUGGAGUAUGUGGUUUAAUUCGAAGCAACGCGAAGAACCUUACCAGGACUUGACAUCCCUUGACAACCCUAGAGAUAGGGCAUCCCUUCGGGGCAAGGAGACAGGUGGUGCAUGGUUGUCGUCAGCUCGUGUCGUGAGAUGUUGGGUUAAGUCCCGCAACGAGCGCAACCCCUAUUGUUAGUUGCCAUCAUUAAGUUGGGCACUCUAGCGAGACUGCCGGUGACAAAUCGGAGGAAGGUGGGGAUGACGUCAAAUCAUCAUGCCCCUUAUGUCCUGGGCUACACACGUACUACAAUGGCGACUACAACAGGAAGCAAGACCGCGAGGUGGAGCAAAUCCCAAAAAGUCGUCCCAGUUCGGAUUGCAGGCUGAAACUCGCCUGUAUGAAGUCGGAAUUGCUAGUAAUGGCAGGUCAGCAUACUGCCGUGAAUACGUUCCCGGGCCUUGUACACACCGCCCGUCACACCAUGAGAGUCGAUAACACCCGAAGUCGGUAGUCUAACUUAUAGAGGACGCCGCCGAAGGUGGGAUUGAUGAUUAGGGUGAAGUCGUAACAAGGUA